RNAcentral lists this ribosomal RNA (250 nucleotides) under uncultured bacterium. Its description in RNAcentral is "partial 16S ribosomal RNA". It matches the Rfam family "Bacterial small subunit ribosomal RNA", at positions 524 to 771 of the family's 1533-position model. The record is from RNAcentral.
UACGUAGGGUGCAAGCGUUGUCCGGAAUUAUUGGGCGUAAAGAGCUCGUAGGCGGUUUGUCGCGUCUGCUGUGAAAACCCAGGGCUCAACCCUGGGCCUGCAUUCGAUACGGGCAGGCUAGAGUUCGGUAGGGGAGACUGGAAUUCCGUGGUGUAGCGGUGAAAUGCGCAGAUAUCAGGAAGAACACCCGUGGCUAAGGCGGCUCUCUAGUACGUGACUGACGCUGAGACGCGAAAGCCGUGGGGAGCGA